UAGGGAAUCUUCCGCAAUGGACGAAAGUCUGACGGAGCAACGCCGCGUGAGUGAAGAAGGAUUUCGGUUCGUAAAACUCUGUUGUUAGGGAAGAAAAAAUGUAUAGUAACUAUAUACAAAAGAGACGGUACCUAACCAGAAAGCCACGGCUAACUACUUGCCAGCAGCCGCGGUAAUACGUAGGUGGCAAGCGUUGUCCGGAAUUAUUGGGCGUAAAGCGCGCGCAGGUGGUUUAGAAAGUCUGAUGUGAAAGCCCACGGCUCAACCGUGGAGGGUCAUUGGAAAAUAAUAAACUUGAGUGCAGGAGAGAAAAGUGGAAUUCCUAGUGUAGCGGUGAAAUGCGUAGAGAUUAGGAGGAACACCGGUGGAGAAGGCGGCUUCUUGGCAUGAAACUGACACUGAGGCGCGAAAGCGUGGGGAGCAAACAGG
This 429-nucleotide ribosomal RNA is filed under the name Verrucomicrobiota bacterium. RNAcentral describes it as "Verrucomicrobia bacterium partial 16S ribosomal RNA". It matches the Rfam family "Bacterial small subunit ribosomal RNA", at positions 355 to 776 of the family's 1533-position model. Lineage: Bacteria; Pseudomonadati; Verrucomicrobiota. The record is from RNAcentral.